This 551-nucleotide ribosomal RNA is filed under the name uncultured eukaryote. RNAcentral's name for it is "SSU rRNA". It matches the Rfam family "Eukaryotic small subunit ribosomal RNA", at positions 20 to 575 of the family's 1831-position model. The record is from RNAcentral.
GUAGUCAUAUGCUUGUCUCAAAGAUUAAGCCAUGCAUGUCUAAGUAUAAGCAAUUAUACAGCGAAACUGCGAAUGGCUCAUUAAAUCAGUUAUCGUUUACUUGACAGUACCUUACUACUUGGAUAACCGUGGUAAUUCUAGAGCUAAUACAUGCUAAUAACCCCGACUCACGAAGGGGUGUAUUUAUUAGAUUAAAAGCCAAUGCCCUUCGGGGCUCACUGGUGAUUCAUAAUAACUUGUCGAAUCGCAUGGCCUUGCGCCGGCGAUGGUUCAUUCAAAUUCCUGCCCUAUCAACUUUCGACGGCUGGGUCUUGGCCAGCCAUGGUGACAACGGGUAACGGAGGGUUAGGGCUCGACCCCGGAAAACGAGCCUGAGAAACGGCUAUUACAUCCAAGGAAGGCAGCAGGCGCGCAAAUUACCCAAUACCGACUCGGUGAGGUAGUGACGAUAAAUACUGAUACAGGGCUCUUUUGGGUCUUGUAAUUGGAAUGAGUACAAUUUAAAUCCCUUAACGAGGAACAAUUGGAGGGCAAGUCUGGUGCCAGCAGCC